RNAcentral lists this long non-coding RNA (882 nucleotides) under Homo sapiens (human). RNAcentral describes it as "HSALNT0155838". Lineage: Eukaryota; Metazoa; Chordata; Mammalia; Primates; Hominidae. The record is from RNAcentral.
CUUUUGCAUCUCUGGGCAGCGCGUGCUUAAGUAAGCUGCUGACUCGGUGGGGAAGCUGCCAGGGAGGGGGGCGAAAGUGAUUCCGGAGGCUGCCGUCUUUAUUAGUCGCUGCUUAGGGGAUGGGGUGGUGCUCCGUGGGCCUGCGCCCGCCUCGCCUCCAGUUUCGGCCUCCGCGUCCUGCUCACCCCUCAUCCUCCUACUCUCUGGUUCCAGUGCCUGAGAAUUUAUUGAGGGAAACUGCCCGUGGUGUCUAAAUCCCUAAUUUUAAAAGGCUGGUUGUGCAAGGAGGUUAGUCUCUCCGGCAUCUCCUUCGGUAACUCUUAUUUACCUUGUAGCCUCUUUUUAGUUCAUCUUAAAUAACUGGGAUGGAGGUGCUACGGAAGGAUCUUAGAGACCCUUUUUGUGCAGAAGGAGAAGGCUGUUUGCCGACCUACCUUGAACUAAGAAGGACUGGCCAUAGAUAACUUUUACAUUCCCGACAGAGGCAAAUAGGUUGGCCGACCAAACACAGCUAAUGUUUUGAAAGCAUUUGAUAUUCUUGCUAUCCUGUCUCCAAUGUUGGGGUCCCUGGGAAGGUCUCAGGAGGGAGAAAUGUUGAAAAUCAGAAAAGGCAUCCCCUCCAUGCCCCACAAAAGAGGUGAACAAAGAGCUGGGUUCCGUUUCUUAGGACAUUCAAAACCAGACAUUUAUUUUGUACAAAACCUCUGGGUGUGUGCCCUUAGAACAAGGAUGUCCAGGCCAGGCGCGGUGGCUCAUGCCCGUAAUCCCAGCACUUUGGGAGGAUGAGGCAGGAGAAUCGCUUGAACCUGGGAAGCAGAGGUUGCGGUGAGCUGAGAUCGCGGCAUUGCACUCCAGCCUGGACAACAAGAGUGAAACUCCGUC